AGGUGUGCCGACUGGUGAUUGGCGUUCUCCAAAAACUGGACAUCCCCCUGGUGCAUGAGAUCAUUCACAAGCUGAUUCCUGAAGUGAAUCUUGUCAUCAGGGUCUAGGCCUUGCUGAAAGGACCCUGGUCUCUGCUCUGCUGGUUAGUGUGGUCCCUGCUCCACAGGAUCUGGGACAGUCUGUUACUCUGCUGGUAGGAGGCAGCAGGGGUCUUGAGACUAAUGACACUUAUAUAAGUCAGCUUUCCCUCCCUGUAACGAAAUGCCAAAAGUAAUAAAUUAUAAAGACAAAAGGUU
Non-coding RNA from Ictidomys tridecemlineatus (thirteen-lined ground squirrel), 296 nucleotides. NCBI's taxonomy places the organism in Eukaryota, Metazoa, Chordata, Mammalia, Rodentia, Sciuridae. The record is from RefSeq and is a predicted model, not a curated record.